GGCGGUUGGUCGCGUNUGCUGUGAAAGGCUGGGGCUUAACCCUGGUUUUGCAGUGGGUACGGGCUAACUAGAGUGCAGUAGGGGAGACUGGAAUUCCUGGUGUAGCGGUGGAAUGCGCAGAUAUCAGGAGGAACACCGAUGGCGAAGGCAGGUCUCUGGGCUGUAACUGACGCUGAGAAGCGAAAGCAUGGGGAGCGAACAGGAUUAGAUACCCUGGUAGUCCAUGCCGUAAACGUUGGGCACUAGGUGUGGGGGACAUUCCACGUUUUCCGCGCCGUAGCUAACGCAUUAAGUGCCCCGCCUGGGGAGUACGGCCGCAAGGCUAAAACUCAAAGAAAUUGACGGGGGCCCGCACAAGCGGCGGAGCAUGCGGAUUAAUUCGAUGCAACGCGAAGAACCUUACCAAGGCUUGACAUAUACUGGACUGCGUCAGAGAUGGCGUUUCCCUUCGGGGCUGGUAUACAGGUGGUGCAUGGUUGUCGUCAGCUCGUGUCGUGAGAUGUUGGGUUAAGUCCCGCAACGAGCGCAACCCUCGUUCUAUGUUGCCAGCACGUGAUGGUGGGGACUCAUAGGAGACUGCCGGGGUCAACUCGGAGGAAGGUGGGGAUGACGUCAAAUCAUCAUGCCCCUUAUGUCUUGGGCUUCACGCAUGCUACAAUGGCCGGUACAGAGGGUUGCGAUACUGUGAGGUGGAGCUAAUCCCUAAAAGCCGGUCUCAGUUCGGAUUGGGGUCUGCAACUCGACCCCAUGAAGUCGGAGUCGCUAGUAAUCGCAGAUCAGCAACGCUGCGGUGAAUACGUUCCCGGGCCUUGUACACACCGCCCGUCAAGUCACGAAAGUUGGUAACACCCGAAGCCGGUGGCCUAACCCUGGUGGGGGGAGCCGUCGAAGG
This 892-nucleotide ribosomal RNA is filed under the name uncultured bacterium. RNAcentral's name for it is "bacterial SSU rRNA". It matches the Rfam family "Bacterial small subunit ribosomal RNA", at positions 574 to 1462 of the family's 1533-position model. The record is from RNAcentral.